CAGAGUCUCAUAAAAGCGUCUCUUCGCCAGAAUCAAUACACUAAGAAACUGCCCAAAUCACAUGUAUCUUUGAAGAUUUUGUUCAUAAACUUUCUCGUCGGCUUCUGCAAACAAUUCCUAUAUGCAGUUUAAGGUAGCAUGUACAUGAGGAGCAACCCAAUAUUGAAAUAUUUAUCUGAAAGUUUGUAUUUGAGGAAAGAGAGAGGCUCUUUCUCGAAGCACUGGCUCAAAAGGAAGCUCAAGAGGUAGAAGAAGAAGAACGAAGGAGAGUGGAAGAUGAGGAAGAAAAGGCGAAACAAUGCCAGUCAUGCUCUCGUGGAACGUCAUGCAACUUUAUCCAUUGUUUUCGCAAUCCUGGUGGAGAUUAUAAAUAGGCGGACAUG
This is a long non-coding RNA of Solanum stenotomum, 383 nucleotides long. RefSeq lists it as uncharacterized. The record is from RefSeq and is a predicted model, not a curated record. The transcript is spliced from 3 exons. Lineage: Eukaryota; Viridiplantae; Streptophyta; Magnoliopsida; Solanales; Solanaceae.